GAUCGAGGCCUUCAUCAGAGACAACGUUACACUCAGUCUACCCAACAGCUUCAGACAUUCAAUUCAGCUAGAGCUGUUGCACAAGCUUCAACAAGGGGACAGGUCUCUGGAGGAAGUGUGUCAUAAACUGUGUGUGUGUAACGCAGUGAGAGAUGCACUGGAGGGUGGCAUCCUCAGUGUGUCCUUCCAUCAGCUGCUCCUCAAACCCAGCAAAAACGCCAUCAGUUUUCUGCUGGAGGUGUGUACAGGUCACUGGAUAAGGAGCACAGGUCUGAAACAAGCAAGAGGAAAAUCGCCAUUUUCAUCAAAUUUGUUUGAAGUGAAUUUCACAUGGGGGAGGGGAAAUGCUGCAGCAGUCUGCAUAAACAGGAACUAUUUUUUUAUAUCAUGUAUCAUCAUUGGAUUUUAGAUUAAAGAAAAAGUUUGGGU
Long non-coding RNA from Sinocyclocheilus anshuiensis, 429 nucleotides. RefSeq lists it as uncharacterized. The record is from RefSeq and is a predicted model, not a curated record. The transcript has 4 exons. NCBI's taxonomy places the organism in Eukaryota, Metazoa, Chordata, Actinopteri, Cypriniformes, Cyprinidae.